AUUUAUAUAGUUUAAUAAAACGUUACAUUUUCAAUGUAAAAAUAAAAUAGAUUUUUUUAUAAAUG
RNAcentral lists this transfer RNA (65 nucleotides) under Vestalis melania. RNAcentral's name for it is "tRNA-Glu". It matches the Rfam family "tRNA". Rfam says of the family: Transfer RNA (tRNA) molecules are approximately 80 nucleotides in length. Their secondary structure includes four short double-helical elements and three loops (D, anti-codon, and T loops). Further hydrogen bonds mediate the characteristic L-shaped molecular structure. tRNAs have two regions of fundamental functional importance: the anti-codon, which is responsible for specific mRNA codon recognition, and the 3' end, to which the tRNAs corresponding amino acid is attached (by aminoacyl-tRNA synthetases). tRNAs cope with the degeneracy of the genetic code in two manners: having more than one tRNA (with a specific anti-codon) for a particular amino acid; and 'wobble' base-pairing, i.e. permitting non-standard base-pairing at the 3rd anti-codon position. The record is from RNAcentral. Lineage: Eukaryota; Metazoa; Arthropoda; Insecta; Odonata; Calopterygidae.